CGGGAGGCAGCAGUGGGGAAUAUUGCACAAUGGGCGCAAGCCUGAUGCAGCCAUGCCGCGUGUAUGAAGAAGGCCUUCGGGUUGUAAAGUACUUUCAGCAGUGAGGAAGGUGGUAGUGUUAAUAGCACUAUCAUUUGACGUUAGCUGCAGAAGAAGCACCGGCUAACUCCGUGCCAGCAGCCGCGGUAAUACGGAGGGUGCGAGCGUUAAUCGGAAUUACUGGGCGUAAAGCGCAUGCAGGUGGUUUGUUAAGUCAGAUGUGAAAGCCCGGGGCUCAACCUCGGAAUUGCAUUUGAAACUGGCAGACUAGAGUCUUGUAGAGGGGGUAGAAUUUCAGGUGUAGCGGUGAAAUGCGUAGAGAUCUGAAGGAAUACCAGUGGCGAAGGCGGCCCCCUGGACAAAGACUGACGCUCAGAUGCGAAAGCGUGGGGAGCAAACAGGAUUAGAUACCCUGGUAG
Molecule: ribosomal RNA, 458 nt
Filed under: uncultured bacterium
Lineage: Bacteria
Description: bacterial SSU rRNA
Rfam family: Bacterial small subunit ribosomal RNA
Source: RNAcentral